CGUGUAGGCGGCUUGACAAGUCAGAUGUGAAAUCCCUGGGCUUAACCCAGGAAGUGCAUUUGAAACUGUCUUGCUUGAGUAAGGGAGAGGAAAGUGGAAUUCCUGGUGUAGAGGUGAAAUUCGUAGAUAUCAGGAGGAACACCGGUAGCGAAGGCGACUUUCUGACCCUAUACUGACGCUGAGACGCGAAAGCGUGGGUAGCAAACA
RNAcentral lists this ribosomal RNA (207 nucleotides) under uncultured Syntrophaceae bacterium. RNAcentral's name for it is "partial 16S ribosomal RNA". It matches the Rfam family "Bacterial small subunit ribosomal RNA", at positions 568 to 774 of the family's 1533-position model. Lineage: Bacteria; Pseudomonadati; Thermodesulfobacteriota; Syntrophia; Syntrophales; Syntrophaceae. The record is from RNAcentral.